CUGAGGAUAAUAGAACUUUUCUGUAUAGCUUGGAGACAAUUAUCGAGUUGAGCUGUGUGGAAGAUUUUAGUGCAAAGUGUAUACUUCGCAUUGGCGGGUUGUUAUUACAGAUCGUACUAUAACAGUGGUGACGGGGCAGUAGAUGGAAUUAUCAUCGGGGUGUUUGUGGCUAUUGGAUUGCUGAUAUUCGUCUUUGUCUGUGUUUGUAUCAAGAACUGCAAGGGAGUUCACAUCCGAACGAGGUCGCGAUUCGGAUGGCCAGUCGCGAAUUUAAAUAGCGCGGUGACGUACCAAAAUACAGUUCGACAAACAAGAUUGUUUCAUCAACAGCCAUAUCCAACUACUACACUGAAUAAUACAACGGCUCCCGUCCAAACACAUCUAUACGGAAACACGCAUGUUCAGUACGGGAUACCGCCACCCUUCAAUGCACCGGUACCGUACAGCGCCACCUAUACAGCUCCUCCGCCGACCUAUUCUUCUGUGUUCACUACGCAUGGUCCAGUGGGUAAAAUGUAAACCGGUUCACUCCUUCGUCUGAGGAAUCUGGUACUUCAAAGACAUAAGAUGGAUACUUGAUAAAGAGAUCACUAGGGCUGGUAAAAAUGAUGAUUGGUUAAUUCAAUCGUGGUCCUCAAAUGAAUUACAUUUCUGAAAGAUCUCGUAGUUUCCGCACGUUGAGCACCCCCUUGCAAACAGUAUACUCGUAUUCUUAAUUAAUACAUUU
Molecule: RNA transcript, 727 nt
Organism: Ostrea edulis (European flat oyster)
Lineage: Eukaryota; Metazoa; Mollusca; Bivalvia; Ostreida; Ostreidae
Gene name: cysteine and tyrosine-rich protein 1-like
Exons: 4
Source: RefSeq, a predicted model, not a curated record